RNAcentral lists this ribosomal RNA (115 nucleotides) under Yersinia pseudotuberculosis YPIII. The record is from RNAcentral. Lineage: Bacteria; Pseudomonadati; Pseudomonadota; Gammaproteobacteria; Enterobacterales; Yersiniaceae.
UGGCGGCAAUAGCGCGGUGGUCCCACCUGACCCCAUGCCGAACUCAGAAGUGAAACGCCGUAGCGCCGAUGGUAGUGUGGGGUUUCCCCAUGCGAGAGUAGGACACUGCCAGGUA